This is a long non-coding RNA of Lathyrus oleraceus (garden pea), 711 nucleotides long. RefSeq lists it as uncharacterized. Lineage: Eukaryota; Viridiplantae; Streptophyta; Magnoliopsida; Fabales; Fabaceae. The transcript is spliced from 3 exons. The record is from RefSeq and is a predicted model, not a curated record.
GUUUGAAGUUGCAUACUAACAUCUGCUUGACUGUUUCAGGUGCUUUAGUUGCUUAGUUCCUUGUGAACUUUUUGCUUUGCUUUGCUUGUAUAAGCAAUUUGCAUUGAGGUACAUUCCCGAGCUUGUCUACUGAUAGAGAUGGCAACGGUUCCCGAGCCGAAGCGGAAGACCUGUUCCUACAGUUUCCACCGUGAGCCGUUGACUCCACUAGUUGAGUUGGGUAGUCUCGUGACAGACGAUCGACUGAAGAGUUUUGUUGGGCGGAUUAUCAGUUGGCGCCUACUCUCGAGGAGUACUCUAUUCUGUUGAGUGUUCCUAUCCAGCAUCAGGUUCCUUUCUUGGAUGUGCCCAAGGAGGUUGAUUUCAGAGUUGUUGCCAGAGCUCUCCAUUUGGGUAUCAAGGAAGUCAGUGAUAGUUGGAAGUCCAGUGGGGAUGUCGUAGGAUUGCCUUUGAAGUUUCUGUUGAGGGUAGCUAGAUGUGAAGCCGAGAAGGGGAAUUGGGAAGUUUUUCAUGCACAGCUUGCCACCAUGAUCUAUGGGAUUGUCCUAUUUCCCAGUAUGCCGAAUUUUGUUGACCAUGCAGCUAUCAGUAUCUUCAUUGGAGGGAAUCCAGUCCCUACCCUGUUAGCAGACACUUACUAUGCUAUUCACAGUAGGCAUGGUAAGGGUGGAGCCAUCAGGUGCUGUCUACCUCUUCUGUUCAAAUGGUUCA